RNAcentral lists this ribosomal RNA (506 nucleotides) under uncultured bacterium. Its description in RNAcentral is "partial 16S ribosomal RNA". The record is from RNAcentral.
GGAGUUAGCCGGUGCUUCUUCUGUGAGUGAUGUCCUUCCUGCCGGCUAUUAACCCGCAGGCCUUCUUCCUCACUGAAAGUGCUUUACAACCCGAAGGCCUUCUUCACACACGCGGCAUGGCUGGAUCAGGGUUGCCCCCAUUGUCCAAUAUUCCCCACUGCUGCCUCCCGUAGGAGUCUGGGCCGUGUCUCAGUCCCAGUGUGGCUGAUCAUCCUCUCAGACCAGCUACGGAUCGUCGCCUUGGUGAGCCGUUACCUCACCAACCAGCUAAUCCGACAUAGGCUCAUCCGAUAGCGCGAGGCCCGAAGGUCCCCCGCUUUCCCCCGUAGGGCGUAUGCGGUAUUAGCCUGGGUUUCCCCAGGUUAUCCCCCACUACCGGGCAGAUUCCUAUGCAUUACUCACCCGUCCGCCGCUCGCCACCAGGAGCAAGCUCCCCGUGCUGCCGCUCGACUUGCAUGUGUUAGGCCUGCCGCCAGCGUUCAAUCUGAGCCAGGAUCAAACUCUGA